GGGCCCCAACUCUUAAUCUUAAUACCUAAUAAGAUUGAGCAUGCUACCAAAAAGUAUUGUUUUGUUUACCCCAUCUAACUAAAUGUAGGUCGUAUGAAAAAAUGUAUUCAAGACACGAUAGCAAUAAGUACUUUUCAAAUAGACGUCUUUAAAUUCGAAGAAGUACUGACCUUGUUAAAUGCCCAAAUUUAUUAAUAUGCAAGAUAU
Molecule: long non-coding RNA, 207 nt
Filed under: Mytilus galloprovincialis (Mediterranean mussel)
Lineage: Eukaryota; Metazoa; Mollusca; Bivalvia; Mytilida; Mytilidae
Source: RNAcentral